GCGGGAGCAGAGACAAGGAAAUGCUGUCACCGCUGUUAAACACGCACGUGGAGUUUUGUUAAAGUUGGGACACGUGCAGGCCAUGCGCCGCCGCUUCUCCCCAGGCUGGGCCUCUCCCGCCAAGGCCUGCUCCAUCUGCAGCUGGAUCUGGGUGGGGCUCAGCCCACUGAUGGUGAGGUUGUUUCCAGAAACGUUCUGCACUGUCAGCUGCUGCUGCCCUGUGAGAAGGACAGAGAAGGACACAACUCAGGGCAGGAAGCCUGAAACCUCAGGAACAAGGACUCCUUGGGGAGAGAGCUGAUUUUCAGGGUUGGAGCAGGGAAGACGGAAGAGCCUGGAACAACUGCUGUAUUGGGAAGUAAGGAAAUACAGCAUGGAAGACCUGGCUUAUGUCUUGCCUCCAUCAACUCAAGAUGUGGGACUUCACAGAAAGGAAGGCAACACUGCUGCCAUCUGCACACCUGAACAGGAAAAGUUGGCUGAAAUAAGACUGAAAGAGUGGUUCAGAUGGUACAGCACCUGCCUACCAAGCAAGCAUGACACCCUGAAAUCAAACCCAGUACCACCAGAAGUUUCCUGAAACAAAAUUUGUACUUACUACCAUGUGAUUUUGACAUUUUUCUGCUUUAUAUUAAAAGUGCUGAUUGUGACCCAUUAAAUUGCUUUUAUACUUAACUGGCUGAAAAAUACAGCUUUGGUCUAUAUACUACCAAAGUUUGAGAAAAAGUAAAAAGAUCUAGAAAGUAAGUUAA
Long non-coding RNA from Dipodomys spectabilis (banner-tailed kangaroo rat), 752 nucleotides. RefSeq lists it as uncharacterized. The record is from RefSeq and is a predicted model, not a curated record. Lineage: Eukaryota; Metazoa; Chordata; Mammalia; Rodentia; Heteromyidae. The transcript is spliced from 5 exons.